GACGAACGCUGGCGGCGUGCCUAAUACAUGCAAGUUGAGCGAUGAAGAUUGGUGCUUGCACCAAUUUGAAGAGCAGCGAACGGGUGAGUAACGCGUGGGGAAUCUGCCUUUGAGCGGGGGACAACAUUUGGAAACGAAUGCUAAUACCGCAUAACAACUUUAAACAUAAGUUUUAAGUUUGAAAGAUGCAAUUGCAUCACUCAAAGAUGAUCCCGCGUUGUAUUAGCUAGUUGGUGAGGUAAAGGCUCACCAAGGCGAUGAUACAUAGCCGACCUGAGAGGGUGAUCGGCCACAUUGGGACUGAGACACGGCCCAAACUCCUACGGGAGGCAGCAGUAGGGAAUCUUCGGCAAUGGACGAAAGUCUGACCGAGCAACGCCGCGUGAGUGAAGAAGGGUUUCGGAUCGUAAAACUCGGUUGGUAGAGAAGAACGUUGGUGAGAGUGGAAAGCUCAUCAAGUGACGGUAACUACCCAGAAAGGGACGGCUAACUACGUG
RNAcentral lists this ribosomal RNA (497 nucleotides) under uncultured bacterium. RNAcentral describes it as "partial 16S ribosomal RNA". It matches the Rfam family "Bacterial small subunit ribosomal RNA", at positions 28 to 507 of the family's 1533-position model. The record is from RNAcentral.